UACGUAGGGGGCAAGCGUUGUCCGGAUUUAUUGGGCGUAAAGAGCGUGUAGGCGGCCAUACAGGUCAGCUGUGAAAACUCGAGGCUCAACCUCGAGACGUCGGUUGAAACCGUAUGGCUAGAGUCCGGAAGAGGAGAGUGGAAUUCCUGGUGUAGCGGUGAAAUGCGCAGAUAUCAGGAGGAACACCCGUGGCGAAAGCGGCUCUCUGGGACGGUACUGACGCUGAGACGCGAAAGCGUGGGGAGCAAACAGG
Molecule: ribosomal RNA, 253 nt
Filed under: uncultured bacterium
Lineage: Bacteria
Description: partial 16S ribosomal RNA
Rfam family: Bacterial small subunit ribosomal RNA
Source: RNAcentral